AAGGGAAUACGCGAACGGUAGAGCGGCAAUCAAAAUGAUUGUGAUACACAUUCUAGGUUAGUAUUAUUGUGGGUUCGAAUCCCACUUCCCUUA
RNAcentral lists this transfer RNA (93 nucleotides) under Caudoviricetes sp. RNAcentral describes it as "tRNA-OTHER". It matches the Rfam family "tRNA". Rfam says of the family: Transfer RNA (tRNA) molecules are approximately 80 nucleotides in length. Their secondary structure includes four short double-helical elements and three loops (D, anti-codon, and T loops). The record is from RNAcentral. Lineage: Duplodnaviria; Heunggongvirae; Uroviricota; Caudoviricetes.